UACGUAGGUGGCGAGCGUUGUCCGGAUUUACUGGGCGUAAAGGGAGCGUAGGCGGACUUUUAAGUGAGAUGUGAAAUACUCGGGCUCAACUUGAGUGCUGCAUUUCAAACUGGAAGUCUAGAGUGCAGGAGAGGAGAAUGGAAUUCCUAGUGUAGCGGUGAAAUGCAUAGAUAUCACACAGAACACCGAUUGCGAAGGCAUCUCACGAAUCCGCGAUUGACGCUGAUGCACGAAAGCGUGGGUAUCAAACAGG
RNAcentral lists this ribosomal RNA (253 nucleotides) under uncultured bacterium. Its description in RNAcentral is "partial 16S ribosomal RNA". It matches the Rfam family "Bacterial small subunit ribosomal RNA", at positions 524 to 776 of the family's 1533-position model. The record is from RNAcentral.